AUUAAUGUUAAGUUUGGUGAUUAAAACUUAAUAAGAGUGAAAAAAUGUGUCAAAAGUCAAUUUGGACUUUUCUUCUUAUAAACCUUUAUUAACCUUUAUAAAAAAAAAAAAAAAAAAAAAAAAAAAAAAUUAAUGGUCACAUAUAUGGAAAAUGGUGGCUGGCCAUGUGCUAUUUUAGAGUGGUGUGAACCCAAUUUUAUAAAAUUCAAAUCCCAUUUAAUUAAGAAGUCAAGUGGGCAAGUGGGUAGAAAAGCACUCAAGUGUUUUGUGAUAUUUUGAAGAGUUGUGUGAGCCAUUCUAACCCCCAAAUCCGACCACUCUCCCUCUCUCAUUCACUCUCAUCUGAUUUUUGGAGACUCUCUCAAGUGUUCUCUCCAUUUUCAACCCCAAGAACACCAAAGAAACUUGGAAGCUAAGUCUUGGUCUAGGAAGGGUUUUCCCUAAGUUGGUUAGGGUUUUUGAAAGGUUUUGGAGGAGCCAAAGCUAAUAGGAAGGUCCAAACCUUAAGCAAGAACACCAAAGAGUAUUGGCUAAGCGUAACUGGACUGAACGUUGGAGGGUGAAAACCUGCUGAGCGCUAAGGACUCCAAAUGUCAGCAGAUGUAGCUUCAUACCAUAGUGGAGAUGGCGGUGGUCAAGAACUGUCGAAUCCUACGAUGAUCCCAACAAGUUGCGAGUCAGCAGCCCCACCAAAGAGAAAAAGUCGUGGGGCUGCCUCUGGGAAAAAAUUAGAGGACAUAAGGCGAGAAGUUGGAUAUCCACUCCCCAUAGCGGUUGACCCCAUCACGUACAAGGUGGUGGGAACUGAACAUGUUUUUGUCCGCCUUUUGGGCACCCAAGUCACGUCUUUAUGUCUAGGAAAUUACAAGGAUUGGGCACAUGUCCCAAAACGGUUUAAGGACAGUGUCAUUAAAAAAGUGAAGAUGGGAUGAUUAUGACACCUUUAUGGAUGGUAUCAAUGUUGAGAUGGCAGAGAGAUACCGAGAUAGGAAAACUAAGCGGCACGCCCACUUCAAAAAGUUAUACAAAGGACCAGAUGAUUGGGACCAGGUCCUACAGAAUCCACCCAAAGAUGUCAAAAACGAUCAAUGGAAAGAAAUUUUUGAGUUUUCACGACUUCAGAGUUUAUUACACGCUCAGAGAAGACCAAAAUAAAUUGAGACCAAAUGAAUUACUCUACAACACAAAGCAUGAAAUCAUUAGCAGCCACUCGUAAAAAAGAACAAGAAGUUUGUCAACGAUGAUGUUGAACAAGAUUAUGAAAAGUUGAAGUUAACUCUUGAAGCUGAAACUCAGCUGACAGUUGAAUCUGGCACCGAUGAUUCCUCCUUAGUCGAUCAAAUGAAGAUACUACAUCAAGUUCUUGGUGAAAGGCGGGCCCACGAGCAAGGAGUUGGCCACAAAUUAAACGAAAAAAAAGAACCAUUUCGAAUUGGGGCUUAGGGUUUCAACGACGGCAUGGGGCUGGUGAAGGCGACGGGCGACGGGUUUGAUGGUGGUGAAGGUGACAUCAGCGGUUGGGGUUUGAGGGAGGCGACAGCUUCAAGCUGGGUUCUCGACAGUUGGAGGGUUCUCGGCACCACUGGGCUUUUCUUCUCCGGCGACGACACUUGGGCUUCUUGGCUCUGGCAACGGUACUGUAGCAGAGGUGGCAGUAGGUUUUUUUUUUGUUGCUUUGUUUCUUUAAUCCAUUGAAGCCAAGUCCAGUCCAAUCGAAGGAGAGGAGCUUGCCUUUACCCACUGAAGCUCCGACCUAGUCUUAGAGCUUCUCAAGUUCAUUCACGUACGAAUCAGUUACAGCUCCUAUAUUUGUCUAUGGCGUCCUCUCCUUGAAUAUGUGAUUAAGUGACUCACCUGAGGUAUUUUUUUUAUUUUUUAUUUAGAUUUUGAAAACUGAUUUGCAAUGUUAUUUAAGUUAUUCUGAUUCAAAUUUUGAAAUCUUAUUGAUAAAGUGAUAUGUGGGACAUAUGAAUUGUUUGAAA
Humulus lupulus (European hop) is the source of this 1982-nucleotide long non-coding RNA. RefSeq lists it as uncharacterized. The record is from RefSeq and is a predicted model, not a curated record. NCBI's taxonomy places the organism in Eukaryota, Viridiplantae, Streptophyta, Magnoliopsida, Rosales, Cannabaceae. The transcript has 8 exons.